CAGUGGCAAGAAAAAAUGGCGAACGUCGAGUUGAACGUCGACGACCUCAUACAAAGAUUGUUGGAAGUCAGAGGAUGCCGACCAGGAAAGACCGUCGUAAUGACAGAGGGCGAAGUGCGGGGCCUUUGCCUGAAGUCAAGGGAGAUUUUUCUUCAGCAGCCGAUCCUACUCGAACUGGAGGCGCCGCUUAAAAUCUGCGGCGAUAUUCACGGCCAAUACACCGAUUUAUUGCGAUUGUUCGAGUAUGGCGGUUUCCCGCCCGAAGCGAAUUAUUUGUUCCUCGGAGACUACGUCGAUCGAGGUAAACAAUCGCUGGAAACGAUAUGCCUGCUGCUCGCGUACAAGAUCAAAUACCCGGAGAAUUUUUUCUUAUUACGUGGCAACCACGAGUGCGCCAGCAUAAAUAGGAUAUACGGGUUCUACGACGAGUGCAAGAGGCGGUACAACGUGAAACUAUGGAAGACGUUCACCGAUUGCUUCAACUGUUUACCGAUCGCCGCAAUUAUCGACGAAAAGAUAUUCUGUUGUCAUGGUGGUCUCAGUCCGGAUCUUCAGAACAUGGAACAAAUCAGAAGAAUUAUGCGUCCAACUGAUGUACCUGAUACUGGUCUUCUUUGUGACUUAUUGUGGUCAGAUCCAGACAAGGAAGUGCAGGGGUGGGGUGAAAACGACCGAGGUGUUUCUUUCACGUUCGGUCCCGACGUAGUAUCAAAGUUCUUAAAUCGCCAUGAUAUGGAUUUAAUAUGCAGAGCACAUCAAGUAGUCGAAGAUGGUUACGAAUUUUUCGCGAAACGGCAGUUGGUCACCCUCUUCUCGGCGCCGAAUUAUUGCGGAGAAUUCGACAACGCCGGUGGAAUGAUGAGCGUCGAUGAAACCUUGAUGUGCAGUUUUCAGAUAUUGAAACCGUCAGAGAAAAAAGCAAAAUACCAAUAUAUAGGGAUAAAUACAGGACAAGGCGCAAGACCAUCUACACCACAAAGGAAUCCAGCCAAAAAGAAAUGACAGCCUCGACCUUACUUUUUGACAUCAACACCAUUAGUGGAUGCUCUUGUGUUAGCAUGAAGACGUCAAGAGAAGUGUGUAAGAUUACCUCUUCCUUGAUUGCAUCUUAAUAAGAUAAGUAAUAUAAUAAUUAAAUGUGACACUUUUCUUUCAUUAACUCGAUUAAGGAUCGCUCCUGUAUCGUCUGGGAAUUAUUAUUUACCCGCACCUUCCAGAUGCCAGGUGGUCCUUGCGGCCAUUAGCGUUUACGAAACAAACGUCGACAUUCUCAUUUUAACUAUUUAUUGCUUCCAUGUUAAAUGUUCUGUGUAAUUAUUAGACUCCGCAGAUUAUUCUAAAUAUUCGUCCGUAACUAUUACUGUCAUCGCUUUGCAGCUAAUUUAAUUAUCGUUUAACAAAAACGCGGCUGCGUCAUGUACAUAGAUACUCUUUUAUUUUGCUCUAAACUUCAGCUCUUCUUUCUUUGUUUUGUUUCUUCUUCGUUUUGUCACGCCUACGCAGGCUUGAAAUACUUCUUUAGUUCACAGUAUUCUGAAAUAUCGACAGCACGUUCCAAGGUAUGCUGUAGAGAUGGUAGAUACCGUUUAUUCUCCAAGAAACAAAGUAAAGAACACAAAAAAAAA
This is an RNA transcript of Dufourea novaeangliae, 1625 nucleotides long. It is a transcript of the gene named serine/threonine-protein phosphatase PP1-beta catalytic subunit, with no coding region annotated. Lineage: Eukaryota; Metazoa; Arthropoda; Insecta; Hymenoptera; Halictidae. The transcript is spliced from 6 exons. The record is from RefSeq and is a predicted model, not a curated record.